Aethina tumida (small hive beetle) is the source of this 851-nucleotide long non-coding RNA. RefSeq lists it as uncharacterized. The record is from RefSeq and is a predicted model, not a curated record. The transcript is spliced from 3 exons. Lineage: Eukaryota; Metazoa; Arthropoda; Insecta; Coleoptera; Nitidulidae.
GUCAAUUUAAAAUAUAAUAUGGGUAUCCUAAAAUUUACUUUAAUUUUACCAAUACUUUUGUUUUGGAUUAAUAAUGUCGCUAUUGGUCAAACUGCGGAUUUAUACGAUAUUGCAAAAGCUCUUCUAGAACAACUUGAUACUGUGGUAAACGACAAAAAAGACAUAUUUAAAGAAAAUAUACGUGAAUAAGGUGACAAAAGUUAUGUAAUAGCAAACGAAUUUAAAAAUUUUUCAUUAACCAAUUUGGACUAUGAAUUCAACCGUGUUAUGGUCACAGCAUCUAAUUUGCGACAGGAAGUGGAAAAUGUUUCUUCGGAGUCUGCCCAAUGUUUGAAUGAUUUAUGGGGAAAUUUCACAAACUAUCGUCUUAAAGCUAACUCGUAUGAGAUGAGCGCAAAUGCUUUUAUAGUGGCAAUUUCUAGAAAUCUAGGGGAAUUCCUUCGAAUGUUAGAAUGGACUCACACAGGAAGAUUACAUAGUCAACUUGAGAGUGAAAGUUGCAUACAAAGUGAAUCGUGUCUUACAGAUCUUAUUUCUCAAAUUUCAAACAGUUUUGUGACCAUGCCAAAAGAAAUUGAUGACUUGGCCCAAAGAGUGGUUGAUUAUCUGGAUGACUAUGAAAAACGUUUAUAUUCAAUGAACACAGUAACAACACUUAUUGAAGACGUCUAUAAAAAUCUGGCUCAAAUUCUGAAUUGUAAAUUUAUUGCAUACACACAAGUAUCUUAGAUGAAAUAUACAUAUAAAAAAUAAAUAAAAGAUAGUAUAAUCGCAAACAACCCAAUCUAAAUGUGAAAAUUUGUUUUAUUAUAUAUUUUUAGAUCGUAUGUAAAUAAAUAUCAGCAAAUGCA